AUGUGAAUAGCUCAGUUGGUAGAGCGGCAGGUUGUGCUGAGGGUCGCAGGUUCGAGUCCUGUUUCACAUCCA
Molecule: transfer RNA, 72 nt
Filed under: Caudoviricetes sp.
Lineage: Duplodnaviria; Heunggongvirae; Uroviricota; Caudoviricetes
Description: tRNA-OTHER
Rfam family: tRNA
About the family: Transfer RNA (tRNA) molecules are approximately 80 nucleotides in length.
Source: RNAcentral